RNAcentral lists this ribosomal RNA (429 nucleotides) under Gemmatimonadota bacterium. Its description in RNAcentral is "Gemmatimonadetes bacterium partial 16S ribosomal RNA". It matches the Rfam family "Bacterial small subunit ribosomal RNA", at positions 355 to 776 of the family's 1533-position model. The record is from RNAcentral. Lineage: Bacteria; Pseudomonadati; Gemmatimonadota.
UAGGGAAUCUUCGGCAAUGGACGAAAGUCUGACCGAGCAACGCCGCGUGAGUGAAGAAGGUUUUCGGAUCGUAAAACUCUGUUGUUAGAGAAGAACAAGGACGUUAGUAACUGAACGUCCCCUGACGGUAUCUAACCAGAAAGCCACGGCUAACUACGUGCCAGCAGCCGCUGUAAUACGUAGGUGGCAAGCGUUGUCCGGAUUUAUUGGGCGUAAAGCGAGCGCAGGCGGUUUCUUAAGUCUGAUGUGAAAGCCCCCGGCUCAACCGGGGAGGGUCAUUGGAAACUGGGAGACUUGGGUGCAGAAGAGGAGAGUGGAAUUCCAUGUGUAGCGGUGAAAUGCGUAAAUAUAUGGGGGAACACCAGUGGCGAAGGCGGCUCUCUGGUCUGUAACUGACGCUGAGGCUCGAAAGCGUGGGGGGCAAACAGG